RNAcentral lists this ribosomal RNA (505 nucleotides) under uncultured bacterium. Its description in RNAcentral is "partial 16S ribosomal RNA". It matches the Rfam family "Bacterial small subunit ribosomal RNA", at positions 28 to 507 of the family's 1533-position model. The record is from RNAcentral.
GACGAACGCUGGCGGCGUGCCUAAUACAUGCAAGUAGAACGCACAGUUUAUACCGUAGCUUGCUACACCAUAGACUGUGAGUUGCGAACGGGUGAGUAACGCGUAGGUAACCUGCCUGGUAGCGGGGGAUAACUAUUGGAAACGAUAGCUAAUACCGCAUAAUAUUAAUUAUUGCAUGAUAAUUGAUUGAAAGAUGCAACUGCAUCACUACCAGAUGGACCUGCGUUGUAUUAGCUAGUAGGUGAGGUAACGGCUCACCUAGGCGACGAUACAUAGCCGACCUGAGAGGGUGAUCGGCCACACUGGGACUGAGACACGGCCCAGAAUCCUACGGGAGGCAGCAGUAGGGAAUCUUCGGCAAUGGACGAAAGUCUGACCGAGCAACGCCGCGGGAGUGAAGAAGGUUUUCGGAUCGUAAAGCUCUGUUGUAAGAGAAGAACGGGUGUGAGAGUGGAAAGUUCACACUGUGACGGUAUCUUACCAGAAAGGGACGGCUAACUACGUG